RNAcentral lists this ribosomal RNA (403 nucleotides) under uncultured bacterium. Its description in RNAcentral is "bacterial SSU rRNA". It matches the Rfam family "Bacterial small subunit ribosomal RNA", at positions 355 to 774 of the family's 1533-position model. The record is from RNAcentral.
UGAGGAAUAUUGCACAAUGGGCGCAAGCCUGAUGCAGCAACGCCGCGUGCGGGACGAAGGCCUUCGGGUCGUAAACCGCUUUUCUGGGGGAAGAGCAAGGACGGUACCUCAGGAAUAAGUCUCGGCUAACUACGUGCCAGCAGCCGCGGUAAAACGUAGGAGGCGAGCGUUAUCCGGAUUUACUGGGCGUAAAGCGCACGCAGGCGGCUCUGUUAGUCGGACGUGAAAGCUCUCGGCUUAACCGGGAGAGGCCGUUCGAUACUGCGGGGCUUGAGGUAGGGAGAGGAAUGCGGCAUUCCCGGUGUAGUGGUGGAAUGCGUAGAUAUCGGGAGGAACACCUGUGGCGAAAGCGGCAUUCAGGCCCUCACCUGACGCUGAGGUGCGAAAGCGUGGGUAGCAAACA